This 497-nucleotide ribosomal RNA is filed under the name uncultured bacterium. RNAcentral's name for it is "partial 16S ribosomal RNA". It matches the Rfam family "Bacterial small subunit ribosomal RNA", at positions 28 to 507 of the family's 1533-position model. The record is from RNAcentral.
GAUGAACGCUGGCGGCGUGCCUAAUACAUGCAAGUCGAGCGAACGGACGAGAAGCUUGCUUCUCUGAUGUUAGCGGCGGACGGGUGAGUAACACGUGGAUAACCUACCUAUAAGACUGGGAUAACUUCGGGAAACCGGAGCUAAUACCGGAUAAUAUUUUGAACCGCAUGGUUCAAAAGUGAAAGACGGUCUUGCUGUCACUUAUAGAUGGAUCCGCGCUGCAUUAGCUAGUUGGUAAGGUAACGGCUUACCAAGGCAACGAUGCAUAGCCGACCUGAGAGGGUGAUAGGCGACACUGGAACUGAGACACGGUCCAGACUCCUACGGGAGGCAGCAGUAGGGAAUCUUCCGCAAUGGGCGAAAGCCUGACGGAGCAACGCCGCGUGAGUGAUGAAGGUGUUCGGAUCGUAAAACUCUGUUAUUAGGGAAGAACAUAUGUGUAAGUAACUGUGCACAUCUUGACGGUACCUAAUCAGAAAGCCACGGCUAACUACGUG